UACAGAGGGGGCAAGCGUUGUUCGGAAUUACUGGGCGUAAAGCGCGUGUAGGCGGCCCGGUAAGUCCGCUGUAAAAGUCGGGGGCUCAACCCUCGAAAGCCGGUGGAUACUGUCGGGCUAGAGUACGGAAGAGGCGAGUGGAAUUCCAGGUGUAGCGGUGAAAUGCGUAGAUAUCUGGAGGAACACCGGUGGCGAAGGCGGCAUCCUGGACCAACACUGACGCUGAGGAGCGAAAGCCAGGGGAGCAAACGGG
This 253-nucleotide ribosomal RNA is filed under the name uncultured bacterium. RNAcentral describes it as "partial 16S ribosomal RNA". It matches the Rfam family "Bacterial small subunit ribosomal RNA", at positions 524 to 776 of the family's 1533-position model. The record is from RNAcentral.